AAAAGAAACUAUUAGAUGGAUGACUCGGCUUGAGAGGCGAUGAAGGGCGUGGCAAGCUACGAAAUGCUAUGGCGAGGCGCAUGCAGCCAUUGAACCAUAGAUUCCUGAAUGAGACUUCUUGUCUUUUUAGACAGUCCGAAAGGACGGCGCACCCGGGGAAGUAAAGCGUUACAGUACCCGGAGGAAAAGAAAUCAAACGAGAUGCUGUUAGUAAGGGCGACUGAACACAGCAAAGGGCAAACUGAAUCUUGCUAGAAAUAGUUAAGAGAUGUGGUGUUGCAGGACUUGUUUUUAGCCUUAACCAUAUGAUUCAAAGUCUGCUGGAAAGCAGUACCUUAGAGGGUGAUAGUCCCGUAGAAGUAAUAUGAAAGGUGUACAAGUAUCCUGAGUAGAAUGCAUUGGAAAUUGCGUUUGAAACUGGGAGGCAUCAACUCCCAACCCUAAAUACAACUCAAGUCCGAUAGAGUAUAGUACAGUGAUGGAACGUUGAAAAGAACUCUUAACAGAGAGUUAAAAGAGCCUGAAAUCUAAUAGUGAUAGAGUGAUACGGCCCUCAGGGGUUGUAUCGUACGUUUCGAAUAACGGGCCAAGGAGUUCAUCUCUGUGGCAAGGGUAAUUGCUUACGGCAAGCACCCAAAGGGAAACCAAUUGUCCGCAGCUUCGGCGAGGGACAUGGUAUUAACUUGCCACAAGUCACAGGGAUGUUACCCGAAACCGGUCGAUCUAACCUACAGCAGGAUGAAGCGAACCUGACGGUUUGUGGAGGUCCGAAGCGGUGCUGUGUGCAUGCGUUCGUAUGACUGUUGGUUAGGGGUGAAAAGCCAAUCGAGAUCGGUAAUAGCUGGUUCCUGCCGAAAUAAGCCUAAGUUUAGUCUCGAUGGAGAUGCCCUAUGCGGUAGAGCCACGGAUUUGUGAGUUUGGGGGAGAAAUCCUUCGCUUACUUGUUCAACUCCAAACGUGUAGGGAUCGUAGAAGUCGGGAAAAAGGGGCGCUGGGGUAAACUUGCGUCUCUAUGGGGGAACAACCCUCUCUAUGGUUAAGGUCCCAAAGUAUUUGCUAAGUGUUAAAGGGCGAAGGGUGUGCAUCACCCGAGACAGAUGGGAGGUAUGCUUAGAAGCAGCAAUCCUUUAAAGAAAGCGUAAUAGCUCACCAUUCAAGGUCAUGUGCCCUGAAAAUGGACGGGGCUAAGCAAAUCACCGAUACCAUAGUCCUCCGAAAGGAGUGAGGUAGGCAGUGCGCUCUGCGUGGGCAGAAGCAUUUUCGUAAGAAUUUGUGGACCGCGUAGAGAUGAGAAUCUUGGUAGUAGUAGGAUCUAUAUACGGUGAGAAUCCGUAAUUCCGAAAGCCCGAGGGUUUCUUCGCAAUGUUCGUCAGCGAAGAGUUAGUCGGUCCUAACCCAUGUCCUAAUUGGUCUAGAGGGAAGGGGAAACAGGUUAAAAUUCCUGUACUAUAUGUGUACGUGCGGCAACGCAAGGCAAGUUUUCGACAUUUCGGGCUACACCAACAACCGCCGUCGCGGUUGUUAAAUAAGAUAAAUCUGUUAAGUAUCGUAACGAUGAGACGCAGAUUAAAUUAUGAAUAGCGGCCCUAUGGGUCGUUUGGUAGAUGCCUGGAGUCCAUGAAAAGAAAGCAUGCAAGGAUCACAUAUAACCGUACCAAGAACCAGCACUGGUGUGGCUAGCUGAGAAAGCUAAGGAAUGAAGGUUUAAACUAGCUUAGGGAAUUCGACAAAUUGGCCCUGUGCCUUAGGUAUAAGGGGUCCCUGCGUCUGUAUGUUCAGCAUGCGGAUACAGGGUUCAAAGAUCAAGAUGGUCCGACUGUUUAAUAAAAACGUAGCGUUUCGCUAGUCUGCAAAGAUGUGUAUGGAACGUGACAUCUGCCCAGUGCCUGUAUCUCAAACUCCUCUACAAGGGAGCUAAGGACAGGUAAACGGCGGGAAUAACUAUGAUUCUCUUAAGGUAGCGCAAUACCCUGCCGAUUGAAUGUCGGCUCGCAUGAAUGGUGUAACGAGGCUGUCAGUGUCCCAAGCUAGUGUCCUCUGAAAAUACUGUACUGGUGUGAAGGCCAGUGACCUCCAGUGGGAAGCGAAGACCCCGUAGAACUUUACUACAACUUGUCGUUGUGGUACAAUACUCGGUAUAUAGUAUAAGUGGGAGCCGUUAUGUUCAACUCGUCAGGGUUGAUCUAGGCACCAGUGUAAUACCACUUUCCUUGUGUUGUAUCGCUAACUUUCUAAGAAAGGACAUCGACUGGCGGGUAGUUUGGCUGGGGCGGCACCAUGCUGAAAAGAUAUCAGUAUGGCCCAAAGGUAAGCUCAUUCGGUUUAGAAAUCCGAAGUAGAGUGUAAGAGCAAAAGCUUGCCUAACUGAUUUCCAACUAUUACGGAAGUCAGAGACGAAAGUCUGGUCUAGCGAACCCCUAUGUCCUUAUUGAUGAGGGCUAGGUAUGACAGAAAAGCUAUCUCGGGGAUAAUUGAGUUGUAGCGCCUAAGAGUUCAAAUCGACGGCGCUGCUUGCUACUUCGUUGUCGGCUCUUCGCAUCCUGGAAGUGCAGAAGCUUCCAAGGGUACGGGUGUUCACCGGUUAAAGCGGAUCGUGAGCUGGGUUAAGAACGUCGUGAGACAGUUUGUAUGAUAUCUACUGGAGGUGUUGAGGUCUGAGUGGAAGGAUCCUUUAGUACGAAAGGAACAAGGGUUCGGCGCCACUGGUGUACCAGUUGUCUGACAAGGCAGGCUGGGCAGCUACGCGCUAAGGGAUAAGAGCUGAAAGCAUCUAAGCUCGAAACCCGCCGCGAAAAUAGACUGAGAAUACCUGCAUAUCACAGGUUUGAUAGGGUCGGGGUGUAAGUAC
This 2848-nucleotide ribosomal RNA is filed under the name archaeon. RNAcentral's name for it is "23S ribosomal RNA". It matches the Rfam family "Archaeal large subunit ribosomal RNA". RNAcentral also lists the same sequence under 1 other name. The record is from RNAcentral.